This 234-nucleotide ribosomal RNA is filed under the name uncultured Actinomyces sp. RNAcentral's name for it is "partial 16S ribosomal RNA". It matches the Rfam family "Bacterial small subunit ribosomal RNA", at positions 267 to 516 of the family's 1533-position model. The record is from RNAcentral. Lineage: Bacteria; Bacillati; Actinomycetota; Actinomycetes; Actinomycetales; Actinomycetaceae.
GUUCACGCGUCGACGGGUAGCCGGCCUGAGAGGUGACCGGCCACACUGGGACUGAGACACGGCCCAGACUCCUACGGGAGGCAGCAGUGGGGAAUAUUGCGCAAUGGGCGAAAGCCUGACGCAGCGACGCCGCGUGAGGGAUGACGGCCUUCGGGUUGUAAACCUCUUUCAGCAGGGACGAAGCGAAAGUGACGGUACCUGCAGAAGAAGCACCGGCCAACUACGUGAGCACCC